GGAGGCGCGGCGGGAGCGGGCGCGGCGGCGGCGGCUCCUCGGGUGCCUCUUCCCGCAUCAUGCCGCUGCGGGACGGGCUCCGGCCGCAGCUGGGGGACGUGGCUGCAGCCGAGCGCACCUCCCGCGCCUGGAGAGGAGGAGGAGGAGGAGGAAGAAGGUGCACAAGUUGAAGUGAAGAUUUUCCGUCUUGGCAAAUCAAGAUGGAAGAAUGUGAGUUAAAGUGAUCUAAAGCUAUGUGGCAAGUUGGUGACAUCACUGGGAGCAGAUGCUGGGAGUUGCAUGCCUACUGCCCUGGCUUCUCUAUGAAAGAGAGAGGCAUGUAAACAUGGCAGACCCAGGAGGUUUUCUCAAAGACCUGAGAUUAAAGAAAAAGUCUGAAGGCAGAUGUCCAAGAAGACGUUUUCACAGAGCAAAGUUACAUUUGAGAAUGAAUUCUUCUGGAACUUGCUUCAAGGGUUGAAGAUCAUGCUGUGAGUUUUAGAAUUUCCAGCAAACCUGGCUGCAGCAAAAGAAAUGUUUAGUAGUGUCUGCAUUUGAAGAUUCCUGAAGCUUCAUCUUUUCUCAUACGUGGGUUCAAAUAAACUCCAACACUACAGCCAGUGAAAGUGCCUGUGAUGUUGCUUGUGAUUCAGAAUAUUUGCUGCAACCUGUGUAGUGAAAUGUCAGUUUAAAAAAUUAUAGCUGUUCUGCUCCAAGUUUCUAUUUUUGCUGUGCUCCUGCUGAAUAUGCCUUAAAAGUUGUAAUCUUCGCUUCUCCCGGUAAUCUCAGCUCCAUACACUGUUUUCACAGCCAGAUUCUAGAGUACUUCUAUGUCACUAGGUGUUUUCUCCACAUGGCUAAGAAGGGGUUUUGAAAAACAAAAGUGAAAUAAUGAUACAACUACAGUAAGUUUGAAAUGAUUGUGCUUGUAUUUUUGUAGCAUCCCAAGUAAUAUCAUUUUUAACCUUUCUGGAAUUUAGGACUUUCCUUAGUGUGUAUGGGAACUGUUUGUCAUUUUGCCUUGAGCAGUGAAAGAUCGAAGUACUGCUUCUUACCUCACUCUUUCUAAUGCCUAUGAAAUCUGAUAACCUUUUAAAGCAACAGCUACUUUGAAGAUCAGGUUGUCGGUCUUCUGGUGUUGUGACUCUUCCUCUUUUUCUGCCUCUAAUGUGGGAAAUCUGGAGAAGACAUGAAGAGUAUAAAAUAGCUUUAGUUUUACUCACUUCCCUCCCAUAUUGUAGGGUAGCUUGUAAACUAUAAAUAUGUGUUCAGAAACACUGCUUUUUAUUAGUGAGGGACAAAACUCAGUUUUGUUUUCCAAAUGCAAAGCCAGGAUGUGUGAGUCACAAGUGUGAUUCUUGGAGUGUCAGUCCAGUGCUGCUAUUAGGGUGUUCAGUUAAUGACAUGGAGGGAGAUGUGAUGGAUUUUUGUCAAAAAUGUCUUUAUUUGAAUAAAGCUGUCUUAACUAGUUCUCUUUA
This is a long non-coding RNA of Rhea pennata, 1457 nucleotides long. RefSeq lists it as uncharacterized. The record is from RefSeq and is a predicted model, not a curated record. The transcript is spliced from 7 exons. Lineage: Eukaryota; Metazoa; Chordata; Aves; Rheiformes; Rheidae.